AUGGAGGCGAGGGGUGUGAGCAGCCGCGAAGCCAAACAGCGCAGCUCUGACGGUGGCUGCGGUGGUCCUGGGCUGGGGCCUCCAGGCCCUGGCAGUCAAGCGUCUAGAGACAUCCCAUCCCCCACGCUGCAAGCCCAGGGACUGCACCGCAGGUACCAGGAGAGGCCUGGUUCUGGUCCGCAAGCCUUUCUGCAAAACAGGCCCCCCCGACUUCGGCCACCCCCUCCCCAGUCAGCCCCUCUCCCAGUGCUUCAGCCCGCCACAGAGCAGCCUGCUUCUCGUCAGAGGGCCCCACCGCCCCCCACGCCCUGCCCCUGCCGGCUCUCCUUUCAGAGCACGUGGCAUGACCUGGUCCAACAACGCCCAAGUCACGAGGCCUCCAGCAGGAGCCAGUGAGGGUUGGGGGGCGGUGAGGAAGGUGCCCCGGGGUCCACCAGGGUACAGAGCCUGGGCCUUCUGCUGCUGUCCUCUGCCUGGCAGCUGCCAGCCCCUCUGUGGACAGUGACGGGCUGCAGCCUCAUCUAGGAGCUGGGCUCUCACUCAUCAGCACGAGCCCAGACGGACAGCCACAGGACGGUUGCUGUAAGCCCCCUGUGGGUGACUUCUGUCAAAGAUACCUGCACUUGAGGUGGCCCCAGAGGUCUGUUCCGUGGAGCAUGGAGCCCCCGCUGUGUGAAACACUCUAAAAUUAAGGGCCCAGCAUUCAGGGCUGAUUCUCCCACUGCAGGGAGCUGGGCCACCCCUUCCCUAGAGCAGGCAUCCUGGCCCAGCCUGGUCACGGAAGAGAAGAACGUUCUCUAUGGCCAGGGAGGCUGGGGCAGGCCCAGGCCCCCCCCAGAUCCAGAGCUCAGGGGCAAAACUCUUCUAGACUCUGCAAGGGGGCACAAUCCCCCUGGGGAGUGGGCUCGGAUCGGUCUCAGGGAGGCUGAGCUGGGGGCCGGGCCCAGGUCCAGGGGGCCUUGCAGCCUUGUGCGGGGAGCAUAGGGUCUGAGGCCAGGCAGCGGCUGCACACCCCGGGCCGCCCUCAGGCCUGCUGCAGGGCCCUGGGCUCCGGGCCUCGGGCUCGGCCUGUCAGGUGGGCACAGCAGCGUCUCUGCAGGGCUGCGAGGAAAAGCUUUCUCAGACCCGGGCCUGGAACAUGAAGCCGGCGUCAUCGUUACCUCUGUAGGGUGAGGGUCUGUGGGCCUCCGUGAGCCUCUCCUUGUGUGGGGCUGUCCUGGAUCCCGGGCCUUCCUGAUUCUGUGGGCGGGCAGGGCAGAGAUGGCAGGGGCUGGCCUGAGGGCUUAACUCCGGAUUGCGGGCCCGGGAGGGGAGGCCACCUCCUUUCCUGGCUCCAGACCUCCGAGUGGGCCCUGCAUCAAGGGCCCGGGAGGUGGGGAGGAGCCGGGGGGCGGGGCAGGGUCAGAGACCAUGACUCAGAACCCCCCACGGCAGCGGCGGGGCAUUCCACCAGGACAGCUGCUCUGAUCCAGGCUCUGGGGUGACAGGUACUGCUCCCCGAGUUCUCACUGCCAGACCAGGAGCUGGAGGUCCCUAAACUACAGGGCCUCACGGUCAACAUGACCCCAGGGGGAGGCGGCGGGAUGAGAAGCAGAAGCAGCGAGAAGCCCUCUGGAAGCACCUUUGGGGAAAUGUGGCAGAAAUGCCUCCAUGCCAGGUCAGGGGAGCCCACCGGAGCCGAGCUGGGGGUCUCAGCCCUCUGCCUCAGCCCCAGACUCGGGUCCCCACCCACCAGCCCUGCUGUGUGUGGCCACACUGCCAGAGAAAGGAACCCAGACCUUGCCCUCUGGAAGUCCCAGCCACCCUCCAUCACGGGGUCACCCCACACAAUCAUCCCAUCAUUACGGACUCAACCCUCCACUAUGCUCAUGUUUCCACAAAAGCAUCCAGGAAUCAGGACACUGCACUUUCUGGGGCCCUCGCACACAC
Molecule: long non-coding RNA, 1929 nt
Filed under: Capra hircus (goat)
Lineage: Eukaryota; Metazoa; Chordata; Mammalia; Artiodactyla; Bovidae
Description: lncRNA (ENSCHIG00010021159.1)
Source: RNAcentral